RNAcentral lists this ribosomal RNA (254 nucleotides) under uncultured bacterium. RNAcentral describes it as "partial 16S ribosomal RNA". It matches the Rfam family "Bacterial small subunit ribosomal RNA", at positions 524 to 776 of the family's 1533-position model. The record is from RNAcentral.
CACGUAGGGUGCGAGCGUUGUCCGGAAUUAUUGGGCGUAAAGAGCUCGUAGGCGGUGUGUCGCGUCGGCCGUGAAAACCUGCAGCUUAACUGUGGGCUUGCGGUCGAUACGGGCAUCACUGGAGUUCGGCAGGGGAGACUGGAAUUCCUGGUGUAGCGGUGAAAUGCGCAGAUAUCAGGAGGAACACCGGUGGCGAAGGCGGGUCUCUGGGCCGAUACUGACGCUGAGGAGCGAAAGCAUGGGGAGCAAACAGG